CCUGGCGGCGAUAGCGCGGUGGUCCCACCUGACCCCAUGCCGAACUCAGAAGUGAAACGCCGUAG
This 65-nucleotide ribosomal RNA is filed under the name Klebsiella aerogenes. The record is from RNAcentral. RNAcentral also lists the same sequence under 5 other names. Lineage: Bacteria; Pseudomonadati; Pseudomonadota; Gammaproteobacteria; Enterobacterales; Enterobacteriaceae.